This 249-nucleotide unclassified non-coding RNA is filed under the name uncultured Dothideomycetes. RNAcentral's name for it is "sequence contains 5.8S rRNA gene, ITS2, 28S rRNA gene". The stretch from base 1 to 52 matches the Rfam family "5.8S ribosomal RNA", at positions 103 to 154 of the family's 154-position model. The record is from RNAcentral. Lineage: Eukaryota; Fungi; Ascomycota; Dothideomycetes.
AACGCACAUUGCGCCCUUUGGUAUUCCGAAGGGCAUGCCUGUUCGAGCGUCAUUUCAAACCUCAAGCCCUGCUUGGUAUUGGGUCCGGCUCCCUUCGGGGCGGCCGUCCUGAAAGUCAGCGGCGAUGCUGUCUAGCCUCAGGCGUAGUAGAACUUUUUCGUCUCGCCUUGCGGGCUUAGGCUGCGCUCGCUGGAAAACCUUCAUCCAAAGGUUGACCUCGGAUCAGGUAGGGAUACCCGCUGAACUUAA